UAGGCUUAACACAUGCAAGUCGAACGGCAGCACAAGGGAGCUUGCUCCCUGGGUGGCGAGUAGCGGACGGGUGAGGAAUACAUCGGAAUCUACCCUGUCGUGGGGGAUAACCUCGGGAAACCGGGACUAAUACCGCAUACGACCUUCGGGUGAAAGUAGGGGAUCGCAAGACCUUACGCGAUUGGAUGAGCCGAUGUCGGAUUAGCUUGUUGGUGAGGUAAAGGCUCACCAAGGCGACGAUCCGUAGCUGGUCUGAGAGGAUGAUCAGCCACACUGGAACUGAGACACGGCCCAGACUCCUACGGGAGGCAGCAGUGGGGAAUUUUGGACAAUGGGCGCAAGCCUGAUCCAGCCAUGCCGCGUGCAGGAUGAAGGCCUUCGGGUUGUAAACUGCUUUUGUACGGAACGAAAAGUCUCUUUCUAAUAAAGAGGGAUCAUGACGGUACCGUAAGAAUAAGCACC
This 462-nucleotide ribosomal RNA is filed under the name bacterium TSA-14.1. Its description in RNAcentral is "bacterial SSU rRNA". It matches the Rfam family "Bacterial small subunit ribosomal RNA", at positions 43 to 494 of the family's 1533-position model. The record is from RNAcentral.